UACGUAGGCGGCUAGCGUUAUCCGGAAUUACUGGGCGUAAAGGGUGCGUAGGUGGUUUCUUAAGUCAGAGGUGAAAGGCUACGGCUCAACCGUAGUAAGCCUUUGAAACUGGGAAACUUGAGUGCAGGAGAGGAGAGUGGAAUUCCUAGUGUAGCGGUGAAAUGCGUAGAUAUUAGGAGGAACACCAGUUGCGAAGGCGGCUCUCUGGACUGUAACUGACACUGAGGCACGAAAGCGUGGGGAGCAAACAGGAUUAGAUACCCUGGUAGUCCCUGA
RNAcentral lists this ribosomal RNA (276 nucleotides) under uncultured prokaryote. RNAcentral's name for it is "partial 16S ribosomal RNA". It matches the Rfam family "Bacterial small subunit ribosomal RNA", at positions 524 to 800 of the family's 1533-position model. The record is from RNAcentral.